UUCCUGUUCGAUGUGAUUUUUCCACCGUUGUGAUCAUCGUUUCCUUCUCUACAGGUUGACCGAAGUAAAACACCCAACUGCAAUGUGAGCCGGAGGAGCAGCCGCACCGAAGAGCCCCACCGUCGGUGAGUUUCAGUUUUUUACAUUUUUUUAGGCCAACCAAGGGUCUUAAGUGUUUUUUCUCGAAGGAACCGAUGCAAGUUUGGCUGAAUUUGGCUAAAAACAGCCAAAAAUAGCUAACUCGAGGUGGGUCACCACCACGAAAAGCGUUGUUGCCGCUGUGCUAGAUUUCUGAAAUUGGCUGAAUGGGCCCUGAGACUGAUUUUUGGGUCUAUUUGGGAUAUUUAUAGGUACCGUAAGCGCAUUCCAGUUCCCAAAAAAAAUUCAGGGAACCCAAGAACUGCAUGUAGGCGCAGUAACCAUUUAGUUUUCGGCGUUAAAUCAGGUAAAGACCCCUCACCCUAUUUCCUAUCAUAGAUGUGAAGUUUGAAUAAAUAAUAAUACGAUCUUUUGUACAAGUUAGAUAAAUAUGCAUAAUUAAUUAUGGAUUGCUAAUGGAGCCCAAAAUCAGACAUUAUUUUCUGUUGAUUUUUGUUGAUUUAUUUUACAGUUUAAAGGCAUGAUGG
This 626-nucleotide long non-coding RNA is filed under the name Carica papaya (papaya). RNAcentral describes it as "long non-coding RNA (CPAP_LNC008465)". The record is from RNAcentral. Lineage: Eukaryota; Viridiplantae; Streptophyta; Magnoliopsida; Brassicales; Caricaceae.